This 465-nucleotide ribosomal RNA is filed under the name uncultured bacterium. RNAcentral's name for it is "partial 16S ribosomal RNA". It matches the Rfam family "Bacterial small subunit ribosomal RNA", at positions 330 to 792 of the family's 1533-position model. The record is from RNAcentral.
UCCAGACUCCUACGGGAGGCAGCAGUGAGGAAUAUUGGUCAAUGGCCGGAAGGCUGAACCAGCCAAGUCGCGUGAGGGACGACUGCCCUAUGGGUUGUAAACCUCUUUUAUAAGGGAAGAAUAAAUGCUACGUGUAGCAUGAUGCCUGUACCUUAUGAAUAAGCAUCGGCUAACUACGUGCCAGCAGCCGCGGUAAUACGUAGGUGGCAAGCGUUGUCCGGAUUUACUGGGUGUAAAGGGCGUGUAGCCGGGUUGACAAGUCAGAUGUGAAAUCCUGCGGCUUAACCGCAGAACUGCAUUUGAAACUGUUGAUCUUGAGUACUGGAGAGGCAGACGGAAUUCCUAGUGUAGCGGUGAAAUGCGUAGAUAUUAGGAGGAACACCAGUGGCGAAGGCGGUCUGCUGGACAGCAACUGACGGUGAGGCGCGAAAGCGUGGGGAGCAAACAGGAUUAGAUACCCCCGUA